RNAcentral lists this unclassified non-coding RNA (316 nucleotides) under Lyomyces griseliniae. RNAcentral's name for it is "partial contains 5.8S ribosomal RNA, internal transcribed spacer 2, and large subunit ribosomal RNA". Lineage: Eukaryota; Fungi; Basidiomycota; Agaricomycetes; Hymenochaetales; Schizoporaceae. The record is from RNAcentral.
CGCACCUUGCACUCCUUGGUAUUCCGAGGAGUAUGCCUGUUUGAGUGUCAUGUAAUCAUCAAUCCCACUUACCUUUGUUGGUUCAAGUGCGGCUUGGAUUUGGAGGUUAACUUGCUGGCUUUGUAAUUGAAGUCGGCUCCUCUUGAAGAUAUUAGUCGGAACUCGAUCGCUCUCGUCGUGGUACGCGGUGUGAUAAUUUAUUCACCCAUCGGUAAAUCCACUUCUUGCGGUUCGACUGGCUUCUAACACUUUUUUCGUAAUGAAAAAACUUUGACAAUCUGGCCUCAAAUCAGGUAGGACUACCCGCUGAACUUAA